RNAcentral lists this ribosomal RNA (890 nucleotides) under Ramichloridium apiculatum. RNAcentral describes it as "LSU rRNA". It matches the Rfam family "Eukaryotic large subunit ribosomal RNA", at positions 38 to 962 of the family's 3401-position model. The record is from RNAcentral. Lineage: Eukaryota; Fungi; Ascomycota; Dothideomycetes; Mycosphaerellales; Dissoconiaceae.
GCAUAUCAAUAAGCGGAGGAAAAGAAACCAACAGGGAUUGCCCCAGUAACGGCGAAGUGAAGCGGCAACAGCUCAAAUUUGAAAUCUGGCGCAAGCCCGAAUUGUAAUUUGUAGAGGAUGCUUCUGGGUAGCGGCCGGUCUAAGUUCCUUGGAACAGGACGUCACAGAGGGUGAGAAUCCCGUAUGUGAUCGGCCCGCGCCCUCUACGUAGCUCCUUCGACGAGUCGAGUUGUUUGGGAAUGCAGCUCUAAAUGGGAGGUAAAUUUCUUCUAAAGCUAAAUACCGGCCAGAGACCGAUAGCGCACAAGUAGAGUGAUCGAAAGAUGAAAAGCACUUUGGAAAGAGAGUUAAACAGCACGUGAAAUUGUUGAAAGGGAAGCGCUUGCAACCAGACUUGUCCGCGGUGUUCCGCCGGUCUUCUGACCGGUCUACUCGCCGCGGGCAGGCCAUCAUCGUCUGGGGCCGCCGGAGAAACCGUCAGGAAUGUAGCUCCCUCGGGAGUGUUAUAGCCUGGCGACAUGCGGCGCGCCCCGGGCGAGGUCCGCGCACUGCAAGGAUGAUGGCGUAAUGGUUGUCAGCGGCCCGUCUUGAAACACGGACCAAGGAGUCUAACAUCUAUGCGAGUGUUCGGGUGUCAAACCCCUACGCGUAAUGAAAGUGAACGGAGGUGGGAGCUUCGGCGCACCAUCGACCGAUCCUGAUGUCCUCGGAUGGAUUUGAGUAAGAGCAUAGCUGUUGGGACCCGAAAGAUGGUGAACUAUGCCUGAAUAGGGUGAAGCCAGAGGAAACUCUGGUGGAGGCUCGCAGCGGUUCUGACGUGCAAAUCGAUCGUCAAAUUUGGGUAUAGGGGGCGAAAGACUAAUCGAACCAUCUAGUAGCUGGUUCCUGCG